This 499-nucleotide ribosomal RNA is filed under the name uncultured bacterium. RNAcentral describes it as "partial 16S ribosomal RNA". It matches the Rfam family "Bacterial small subunit ribosomal RNA", at positions 28 to 507 of the family's 1533-position model. The record is from RNAcentral.
GACGAACGCUGGCGGCGUGCUUAACACAUGCAAGUCGAACGGGCCCGCCCCUGUUUUUGGGGGUGGGUUGAGUGGCGAACGGGUGAGUAUCACGUGAGUAACCUGCCCCCUGCUCCUGGAUAACUGCUUGAAAGGGCGGCUAAUACGGGGUGUGCCGGCUGGUCCGCAUGGGCCUGGUCGGGAUAGUUUCAUCUUCGGGUGUUUCGGUGGGGGAUGGGCUCGCGGCCUAUCAGCUUGUUGGUGGGGUGAUGGCCCACCAAGGCGGUGACGGGUAGCCGGCCUGAGAGGGUGGGCGGCCACACUGGGACUGAGACACGGCCCAGACUCCGGCGGGAGGCAGCAGUGGGGGGUAUUGCACAAUGGGCGGAAGCCUGAUGCAGCGACGUCGCGUGAGGGAUGGAGGCCUUCGGGUUGUGAACCUCUUUCUCCGGUGGUGAAGGCCCUGUCCGUUGCGGCGGGGUUGACGGUAGCCGGGUAUGAAGCGCCGGCUAACUACGUG